RNAcentral lists this ribosomal RNA (465 nucleotides) under Vreelandella stevensii. Its description in RNAcentral is "partial 16S ribosomal RNA". It matches the Rfam family "Bacterial small subunit ribosomal RNA", at positions 338 to 795 of the family's 1533-position model. The record is from RNAcentral. Lineage: Bacteria; Pseudomonadati; Pseudomonadota; Gammaproteobacteria; Oceanospirillales; Halomonadaceae.
CCUACGGGGCGCAGCAGUGGGGAAUAUUGGACAAUGGGCGAAAGCCUGAUCCAGCCAUGCCGCGUGUGUGAAGAAGGCCUUCGGGUUGUAAAGCACUUUCAGUGGGGAAGAAAGCCUUGGGGCUAAUACCCUCGAGGAAGGACAUCACCCACAGAAGAAGCACCGGCUAACUCCGUGCCAGCAGCCGCGGUAAUACGGAGGGUGCGAGCGUUAAUCGGAAUUACUGGGCGUAAAGCGCGCGUAGGCGGUCUGAUAAGCCGGUUGUGAAAGCCCCGGGCUCAACCUGGGAACGGCAUCCGGAACUGUCAGGCUAGAGUGCAGGAGAGGAAGGUAGAAUUCCCGGUGUAGCGGUGAAAUGCGUAGAGAUCGGGAGGAAUAGCAGUGGCGAAGGCGGCCUUCUGGACUGACACUGACGCUGAGGUGCGAAAGCGUGGGUAGCAAACAGGAUUAGAUACCCGGGUAGUC